UAUGUACUCCCUCCGUCCCAUAAUUCUCGUCUUAGAUUUGUCUAGAUAUGGAUGUAUCUAACAUUAAAAUGUUACUAGAUACAUCCGUAUCUAAAGAAAUCUAAGACAAGAUUUUGGGACUGAGGGAGUAAACU
Non-coding RNA from Triticum aestivum (bread wheat), 134 nucleotides. Lineage: Eukaryota; Viridiplantae; Streptophyta; Magnoliopsida; Poales; Poaceae. The record is from Rfam.